This is a non-coding RNA of Umbelopsis sp. AD052, 72 nucleotides long. The record is from the annotation of a GenBank genome assembly. Lineage: Eukaryota; Fungi; Mucoromycota; Umbelopsidomycetes; Umbelopsidales; Umbelopsidaceae.
GGAGAUAUAGCUCAGCGGUAGAGCAGCCGACUGCAGAUCGGCAGGUCCUUGGUUCAAUCCCGAGUGUCUCCU